This 492-nucleotide ribosomal RNA is filed under the name uncultured bacterium. RNAcentral describes it as "partial 16S ribosomal RNA". It matches the Rfam family "Bacterial small subunit ribosomal RNA", at positions 28 to 507 of the family's 1533-position model. The record is from RNAcentral.
GAUGAACGCUAGCUACAGGCUUAACACAUGCAAGUCGAGGGGAAACGACAUCGGAAGCUUGCUUUUGAUGGGCGUCGACCGGCGCACGGGUGAGGAACGCGUAUCCAACCUUCCCAUCACUUGAGAAUAACCUUGCGAAGGUAAGACUAAUACCCAAGGACAUCCCACGAAGACAUCUGAAGGGGAUUAAAGAUUUGUCGGUGGUGGAGGGGGAUGCGUCUGAUUAGCUUGUUGGCGGGGUAACGGCCCACCAAGGCAACGAUCAGUAGGGGUUCUGAGAGGAAGGUCCCUCACAUUGGAACUGAGACACGGCCCAAACUCCUACGGGAGGCAGCAGUGAGUAAUAUUGGUCAAUGGGCGAGAGCCUGAACCAGCCACGUAGCGUGCAGGAUGACGGCCCUCUGGGUUGUAAACUGCUUCUAUAAGGGAACAAAGUGGGUCUCGUGAGACUUUUUGACUGUACCUUAUGAAUAAGGACCGGCUAAUUACGUG